UGGGGAAUCUUGCACAAUGGGCGAAAGCCUGAUGCAGCAAUGCCGCGUGAGUGAUGAAGGCCUUCGGGUUGUAAAUCUCUGUCGGCUGGGAAAAACGGUUUCACAUUUAAUAAAUGUGGAAAGUGAUGGUACCAGCAAAGGAAGAGGCGGCUAACUCUGUGCCAGCAGCCGCGGUAAUACAGAGGCCUCGAGCGUUGUUCGGAAUUACUGGGCGUAAAGGGAAUGUAGGUGGUGACGUAAGUCAGAUGUGAAAGCCCUGGGCUUAACCCGGGAAGUGCAUUUGAUACUGCGUUGCUUGAGUACGAGAGAGGAAAGCGGAAUUCCAAGUGUAGGAGUGAAAUCCGUAGAUAUUUGGAGGAAUACCGAUGGCGAAGGCAGCUUUCUGGCUCGUAACUGACACUGAGAUUCGAAAGCGUGGGUAGCAAACAG
RNAcentral lists this ribosomal RNA (429 nucleotides) under uncultured bacterium. RNAcentral describes it as "bacterial SSU rRNA". It matches the Rfam family "Bacterial small subunit ribosomal RNA", at positions 355 to 775 of the family's 1533-position model. The record is from RNAcentral.